GGACGAACGCUGGCGGCGUGCUUAACACAUGCAAGUCGAACGCUGAAGCUCAGCUUGCUGGGUGGAUGAGUGGCGAACGGGUGAGUAACACGUGAGUAACCUGCCCUCUUCUUUGGGAUAACGCCCGGAAACGGGUGCUAAUACUGGAUAUUCACUGAUUCUCGCAUGGGGGUUGGUGGAAAGGUUUUUUCUGGUGGGGGAUGGGCUCGCGGCCUAUCAGCUUGUUGGUGGGGUGAUGGCCUACCAAGGCUUUGACGGGUAGCCGGCCUGAGAGGGUGACCGGUCACAUUGGGACUGAGAUACGGCCCAGACUCCUACGGGAGGCAGCAGUGGGGAAGAUUGCACAAUGGGCGAAAGCCGGAUGCAGCGACGCCGCGUGAGGGAUGGAGGCCUUCGGGUUGUAAACCUCUUUCGCUCAUGGUCAAGCCGCAGCUUUGGGUUGUGGUGAGGGUAGUGGGUAAAGAAGCGCCGGCUAACUACGUG
This 483-nucleotide ribosomal RNA is filed under the name uncultured bacterium. Its description in RNAcentral is "partial 16S ribosomal RNA". It matches the Rfam family "Bacterial small subunit ribosomal RNA", at positions 27 to 507 of the family's 1533-position model. The record is from RNAcentral.